AACUGGGGGCAAAGCACUAGAAACGUUAAAUUUAAGAAUUAACAUAGAAUGUAUUUUAUGUAAUCUAAUACAUGAUGGCAAAAAUCGGACUGCGCAGAAUCACAUAAGAGAGGUCAACUAUCGGACAAAGUGAGGAAGACUAUGGAAGACCACCAGAGGG
Molecule: long non-coding RNA, 160 nt
Organism: Aquila chrysaetos chrysaetos
Lineage: Eukaryota; Metazoa; Chordata; Aves; Accipitriformes; Accipitridae
Exons: 3
Source: RefSeq, a predicted model, not a curated record